Molecule: ribosomal RNA, 491 nt
Filed under: anaerobic bacterium B175
Lineage: Bacteria
Description: bacterial SSU rRNA
Rfam family: Bacterial small subunit ribosomal RNA
Source: RNAcentral
GCGUAAAGGGUGCGUAGGUGGUCUUUCAAGUCGGUGGUUAAAGGCUACGGCUCAACCGUAUUAAGCCGCCGAAACUGGAAGACUUGAGUGCAGGAGAGGAAAGUGGAAUUCUCAGUGUAGCGGUGAAAUGCGUAGAUAUUGAGAAGAACACCAGUAGCGAAGGCGGCUUUCUGGACUGUAACUGACACUGAGGCACGAAAGCGUGGGUAGCAAACAGGAUUAGAUACCCUGGUAGUCCACGCCGUAAACGAUGAGUAUUAGGUGUCGGGGGUUACCCCCCUCGGUGCCGCAGUUAACGCAUUAAAUACUCCGCCUGGGGAGUACGCACGCAAGUGUGAAACUCAAAGGAAUUGACGGGGACCCGCACAAGUAGCGGAGCAUGUGGUUUAAUUCGAAGCAACGCGAAGAACCUUACCUAAGCUUGACAUCUCUCAGAUCGGUAGUUAAUCCUACCUUCCCUUCGGGGCUGAGAUGACAGGUGGUGCAUGGUU